Molecule: ribosomal RNA, 258 nt
Filed under: uncultured prokaryote
Description: partial 16S ribosomal RNA
Rfam family: Bacterial small subunit ribosomal RNA
Source: RNAcentral
UACGGAGGAUGCAAGCGUUAUCCGGAUUUAUUAGGUUUAAAGGGUGCGUAGGUGGGCGUUUAAGUCAGUGGUUAAAGCCAUUAGCUUAACUAAUGUAUGCCAUUGAUACUGGAUGUCUUGAAUGUGGUAGAGGUAGGCGGAAUGUGUUGUGUAGCGGUGAAAUGCUUAGAUAUUACGCAGAACACCGAUCGCGAAGGCAGCUUGCUGGGCCAGUAUUGACGCUGAGGCACGAAAGCGUGGGUAGCGAACAGGAUUAGA